UUGGGGUGUGUCGUGUUAGGGUUGGUGUGUCUUGGUUAGGUUAGGUUUGGGGUGUGUUGUGUUAGGGUUGGUGUGUCUUGGUUAGGUUAGGUUUGGGGUGUGUUGUGUUAGGGUUGGUGUGUCUUGGUUAGGUUAGGUUUGGGGUGUGUUGUGUUUGGGUUGGUGUGUGUUGGUUAGGUUAGGUUUGGGGUGUGUUGUGUUGGGGUUGGUGUGUGUUGGUUAGGUUAGGUUUGGGGUGUGUUGUGUUUGGGUUGGUGUGUCUUGGUUAGGUUAGGUUUGGGGUGUGUUGUGUUAGGGUUGGUGUGUGUUGGUUAGGUUAGGUUUGGGGUGUGUUGUGUUUGGGUUGGUGUGUCUUGGUUAGGUUAGGUUUGGGGUGUGUUGUGUUAGGGUUGGUGUGUCUUGGUUAGGUUAGGUUUGGGGUGUGUUGUGUUUGGGUUGGUGUGUCUUGGUUAGGUUAGGUUUGGGGUGUGUUGUGUUAGGGUUGGUGUGUGUUGGUUAGGUUAGGUUUGGGGUGUGUUGUGUUAGGGUUGGUGUGUGUUGGUUAGGUUAGGUUUGGGGUGUGUUGUGUUUGGGUUGGUGUGUCUUGGUUAGGUUAGGUUUGGGGUGUGUUGUGUUGGGGUUGGUGUGUCUUGGUUAGGUUAGGUUAGGUUUGGGGUGUGUUGUGUUGGGGUUGGUGUGUGUUGGUUAGGUUAGCUUUGGGGUGAGGUUUGCUUUGGGGUGUGUUGUGUUACUGUUAAGGUUGGUUUGGGUUGGUUAGGUUAGGUUUGGGAUGAGGUUUGCUUUGGGGUGUGUUGUGUUAGGGGAGAUAAAAGUAGAUAUGUUAAGGAAGAGGAGAAGGAGGAAGAAAUGGUAAAGUAAGGAAGAAAAAAAAGCAGAAGAGGAGAAACAUAAAAGGGGGAGAAGGAGGAGGAAGAAGAUAAAUAAAGAGAGAAGAGGAGGAGAAGGAAGAGGAGUAAAGAAGAAGGAGGAGGAGAAGGAGAAGGAGGAAGCACAAGAACACCAUCACCCAUCACCAUCACCACCAUCAUUACGUAGCCAGACCAAAAUAACAUAACUCGCUGACGCUAUUUUACGAACCGACCCCCUCUCUCUCUCUCUCUCUCCCCCACUCUAUCGCUCUCGCU
Molecule: long non-coding RNA, 1124 nt
Organism: Eriocheir sinensis (Chinese mitten crab)
Lineage: Eukaryota; Metazoa; Arthropoda; Malacostraca; Decapoda; Varunidae
Exons: 3
Source: RefSeq, a predicted model, not a curated record